This 74-nucleotide transfer RNA is filed under the name Oscillospiraceae bacterium. RNAcentral's name for it is "tRNA-Gly". It matches the Rfam family "tRNA". Rfam says of the family: Transfer RNA (tRNA) molecules are approximately 80 nucleotides in length. Their secondary structure includes four short double-helical elements and three loops (D, anti-codon, and T loops). Lineage: Bacteria; Bacillati; Bacillota; Clostridia; Eubacteriales; Oscillospiraceae. The record is from RNAcentral.
GCGGGUGUUGCGUAAUGGUAACGCUCUAGCCUUCCAAGCUAGCCACGUGGGUUCGAUUCCCAUCACCCGCUCCA